GCUGACAGGAGGGGCAGCAGGGGUUUGGUUACCUGUUGGACAGAUUUUAAAAGGUGUCACCAGGCAAGGAGCAUCAUGAUGUAAUGAGGAGAGUAGAGGACAGUGUACAGCCCGCCCCCCAGGUAGAGGACAGUGUACAGGCCCCCCCCCAGGUAGAGGACAGUGUACAGGUGCCACCCCAGGUAGAGGACAGUGUACAGGUGCCACCCCAGGUAGAGGACAGUGUACAGGUGCCACCCCAGGUAGAGGACAGGGUACAGGUGCCACCCCAGGUAGAGGACAGUGUACAGGUGCCACCCCAGGUAGAGGACAGUGUACAGGUGCCACCCCAGGUAGAGGACAGUGUACAGGUGCCACCCCAGGUAGAGGACAGUGUACAGGUGCCACCCCAGGUAGAGGACAGUGUACAGGUGCCACCCCAGGUAGAGGACAGUGUACAGGUGCCACCCCAGGUAGAGGACAGUGUACAGGUGCCACCCCAGGUAGAGGACAGUGUACAGGUGCCACCCCAGGUAGAGGACAGUGUACAGGUGCCACCCCAGGUAGAGGACAGUGUACAGGUGCCACCCCAGGUAGAGGACAGUGUACAGGUGCCACCCCAGGUAGAGGCCGGGUACAGGGCCCCCCCCAGGUAGAGGACAGGGUACAGGUGCCACCCCAGGUAGAGGACAGUGUACAGGUGCCACCCCAGGUAGAGGACAGGGUACAGGGGACUGGUUGAAAAUAUUGGACCCCCUGCCUGCAUCUCUCUCUGUAGAGGGAUUUACUGUAUGAGAUCACAGAGAAACUCAUCCCAUAGAAACUCAUCCCAUAAUAGAAGUCUACAGGUCACAGAGAAACUCAUCCCAUAAUAGAAGUCUACAGGUUACAGAGAAACUCAUCCCAUAAUAGAAGUCUACAGGUCACAGAGACACUCAUCCCAUAAUAGAAGUCUACAGGUCACAGAGACACUCAUCCCAUAAUACAGGU
RNA transcript from Oncorhynchus keta (chum salmon), 969 nucleotides. RefSeq lists it as uncharacterized. Lineage: Eukaryota; Metazoa; Chordata; Actinopteri; Salmoniformes; Salmonidae. The transcript is spliced from 7 exons. The record is from RefSeq and is a predicted model, not a curated record.